Molecule: ribosomal RNA, 587 nt
Filed under: Saccharomyces cerevisiae (brewer's yeast)
Lineage: Eukaryota; Fungi; Ascomycota; Saccharomycetes; Saccharomycetales; Saccharomycetaceae
Description: eukaryotic LSU rRNA
Rfam family: Eukaryotic large subunit ribosomal RNA
Source: RNAcentral
CCACGGGCAUGCCUUAGUACGGCGAGUGAGCGGCAAAAGCUCAAAUUUGAAAUCUGGUACCUUCGGUGCCCGAGUUGUAAUUUGGAGAGGGCAACUUUGGGGCCGUUCCUUGUCUAUGUUCCUUGGAACAGGACGUCAUAGAGGGUGAGAAUCCCGUGUGGCGAGGAGUGCGGUUCUUUGUAAAGUGCCUUCGAAGAGUCGAGUUGUUUGGGAAUGCAGCUCUAAGUGGGUGGUAAAUUCCAUCUAAAGCUAAAUAUUGGCGAGAGACCGAUAGCGAACAAGUACAGUGAUGGAAAGAUGAAAAGAACUUUGAAAAGAGAGUGAAAAAGUACGUGAAAUUGUUGAAAGGGAAGGGCAUUUGAUCAGACAUGGUGUUUUGUGCCCUCUGCUCCUUGUGGGUAGGGGAAUCUCGCAUUUCACUGGGCCAGCAUCAGUUUUGGUGGCAGGAUAAAUCCAUAGGAAUGUAGCUUGCCUCGGUAAGUAUUAUAGCCUGUGGGAAUACUGCCAGCUGGGACUGAGGACUGCGACGUAAGUCAAGGAUGCUGGCAUAAUGGUUAUAUGCCGCCCGUCUUGAACCAACGGGACCA